CUUCUAAUUGAAGGUGUGUCGCCC
RNAcentral lists this non-coding RNA (24 nucleotides) under Arabidopsis thaliana (thale cress). Lineage: Eukaryota; Viridiplantae; Streptophyta; Magnoliopsida; Brassicales; Brassicaceae. The record is from RNAcentral.